UCGGGAAUUUUGGGCAAUGGGCGAAAGCCUGACCCAGCAACGCCGCGUGAAGGAUGAAGUAUUUCGGUAUGUAAACUUCGAAAGAAUAGGAAGAAUAAAUGACGGUACUAUUUGUAAGGUCCGGCUAACUACGUGCCAGCAGCCGCGGUAAUACGUAGGGACCAAGCGUUGUUCGGAUUUACUGGGCGUAAAGGGUGCGUAGGCGGCAUAUCAAGUCACUUGUGAAAUCUCCGGGCUUAACUCGGAACUGCCAAGUGAUACUGAUGUGCUAGAGUGCAGAAAGGGCAACUGGAAUUCUUGGUGUAGCGGUGAAAUGCGUAGAUAUCAAGAGGAACACCUGAGGCGAAGGCGAGCUGCUAGGCUGACACUGACGCUGAGGUACGAAAGCUAGGGGAGCGAACGGGAUUAGAUACCCAAGUAGUCCCUGAGCGGGCUGGCAAGGCGCAU
RNAcentral lists this ribosomal RNA (447 nucleotides) under uncultured bacterium. RNAcentral describes it as "bacterial SSU rRNA". It matches the Rfam family "Bacterial small subunit ribosomal RNA", at positions 355 to 825 of the family's 1533-position model. The record is from RNAcentral.